UACGUAGGGUGCAAGCGUUAAUCGGAAUUACUGGGCGUAAAGCGUGCGCAGGCGGCUCGGAAAGAAAGAUGUGAAAUCCCAGGGCUUAACCUUGGAAUGGCAUUUUUAACUCCCGAGCUAGAGUAUGUCAGAGGGGGGUAGAAUUCCACGUGUAGCAGUGAAAUGCGUAGAGAUGUGGAGGAAUACCGAUGGCGAAGGCAGCCCCCUGGGAUAAUACUGACGCUCAGGCACGAAAGCGUGGGGAGCAAAC
RNAcentral lists this ribosomal RNA (250 nucleotides) under uncultured bacterium. RNAcentral describes it as "partial 16S ribosomal RNA". It matches the Rfam family "Bacterial small subunit ribosomal RNA", at positions 524 to 773 of the family's 1533-position model. The record is from RNAcentral.